RNAcentral lists this ribosomal RNA (256 nucleotides) under uncultured bacterium. RNAcentral describes it as "partial 16S ribosomal RNA". It matches the Rfam family "Bacterial small subunit ribosomal RNA", at positions 524 to 776 of the family's 1533-position model. The record is from RNAcentral.
UACGUAGGGGGGCAAGCGUUUGUCCGGAAUCAUUGGGCGUAAAGCGCGUGUAGGCGGCUUGGUAAGUCCGCUCUGAAAGCCCGGGGCUCAACCCCGGGAGGCGGGUGGAUACUGCUGGGCUCGAGUCCGGAAGAGGCGAGUGGAAUUCCCGGUGUAGCGGUGAAAUGCGCAGAUAUCAGGAGGAACACCGGUGGCGAAGGCGGUUCUCUGGGCAUUACCUGACGCUGAGGAGCGAAAGUGUGGGGGAGCGAACAGG